Long non-coding RNA from Gossypium arboreum, 593 nucleotides. RefSeq lists it as uncharacterized. The record is from RefSeq and is a predicted model, not a curated record. The transcript has 2 exons. Lineage: Eukaryota; Viridiplantae; Streptophyta; Magnoliopsida; Malvales; Malvaceae.
CCCAUUUACUUUCCCGGUUGCCCCCCAAAUGUUUGCCCUGUCCUCACUCUUUACCCCAAAAUCUGGAAAAUCCCUAAAGUAAACCAUCUUCCUCUUCAUCACUCAUCAAUUUCUGAAAAUUGAAAUCCCUCUCCCGUUCGGCUGUCCCUCACCCAUCUCCGGUUAAACCAUCCUUCUUCGUCAUUUUAUGGAACUUUCCUGAAAAUUGUUUGUUCAUUAGUUUUUGCUCGCUAGACGCCGCAUCGAAACAACUCAAGUUCAGGGAUGCAAUUGGGAUGCUAAGAGACAAAAACGAGCAAAAAAGGACCAAAUUGAAACACAACCAAUAAAAAUGAGGCCGAAUAAGAAAUGUGGAGAAAAGCCAAGGACUCAUCAGAAUUUUUAACUUUGUAAAAGCCAAAAAUAGAUUAAAAAUCUUAUUUUAUUUUUAUUUAUUUUAUUUUAUUUUGAUUUUAUAUUAAAUUAGUUAAGGCCAAAAAUAACAAAUUUUAUAUGUAUAAAUAGGCCUUAAUGUCUUUUGAAAAGGCAUCCCUUAAUUCUACAUUUUAAUUUCAAUUUGGAAUUGAAUAGAUUUAUUUUCCUUUUUCUUUCAA